AGGACGAACGCUGGCGGCGUGCUUAACACAUGCAAGUGGAGCGACGAACCAGGGCUUGCCCUGGGGCAGAGCCGCGAACGGGUGAGUAACACGUGGGUUACCUGCCUCGAUGACCGGGACAACCCGAGGAAACUCGGGCUAAUACCGGAUGUGCCCGCAAGGGGAAAGGAAGCUUCGGCCUCCGCAUCGAGAUGGGCCCGCGGCCCAUUAGCUUGUUGGUGAGGUAACGGCUCACCAAGGCUUCGAUGGGUAGCUGGUCUGAGAGGACGAUCAGCCACACUGGGACUGAGACACGGCCCAGACUCCUACGGGAGGCAGCAGUGGGGAAUCUUGCGCAAUGCGCGAAAGCGUGACGCAGCAACGCCGCGUGGGGGAAGAAGGCUUUCGGGUUGUAAACCCUUUCAGUUGGACGAAGCUUCGCCGGUGAACAGCCGGCCGGAGUGACGGUACCUUCACAAGAAGCACCGGCUAACUACGUGCCAGCAGCCGCGGU
Molecule: ribosomal RNA, 493 nt
Filed under: uncultured bacterium
Lineage: Bacteria
Description: SSU rRNA
Rfam family: Bacterial small subunit ribosomal RNA
Source: RNAcentral